UACGUAGGGUGCGAGCGUUAAUCGGAAUUACUGGGCGUAAAGCGUGCGCAGGCGGUCUGCUAAGACAGGUGUGAAAUCCCUGGGCUCAACCUAGGAAUUGCGCUUGUGACUGGCGGGCUAGAGUACGGUAGAGGGGGGUGGAAUUCCCGGUGUAGCAGUGAAAUGCGUAGAGAUCAGGAGGGACACCGAUGGCGAAGGCAGCCCCCUGGUCCUGUACGGACGCCCAGGCACCAAUGCGUGGGUAGCAAACAGG
RNAcentral lists this ribosomal RNA (253 nucleotides) under uncultured bacterium. RNAcentral's name for it is "partial 16S ribosomal RNA". It matches the Rfam family "Bacterial small subunit ribosomal RNA", at positions 524 to 776 of the family's 1533-position model. The record is from RNAcentral.